Molecule: ribosomal RNA, 513 nt
Filed under: uncultured bacterium
Lineage: Bacteria
Description: partial 16S ribosomal RNA
Rfam family: Bacterial small subunit ribosomal RNA
Source: RNAcentral
GAUGAACGCUGGCGGCGUGCCUAAUACAUGCAAGUCGAGCGAACAGACGAGGAGCUUGCUCCCCUGACGUUAGCGGCGGACGGGGGAGUAACCCGUGGAUAACCUCCCUAUAAGACUGGGAUAACUUCGGGAAACCGGAGCUCAUACCGGCUAAUUUAAUGAACCUCCAGGCUCAAUAGUGAAAGACGGUUUUGCUGUCCCUUAUACAUUGAUCCGCGCCGCAUUAGCUAGUUGGUAAGGUAACGGCUUACCAAGGCAACGAUGCGUAGCCGACCUGAGAGGGUGAUCGGCCACACUGGAACUGAGACACGGUCCAGACUCCUACGGGAGGCAGCAGUAGGGAAUCUUCCGCAAUGGGCGAAAGCCUGACGGAGCAACGCCGCGUGAGUGAUGAAGGUCUUCGGAUCGUAAAACUCUGUUAUUAGGGAAGAACAAAUGUGUAAGUAACUAUGCACGUCUUGACGGUACCUAAUCAGAAAGCCACGGCUAACUACGUGCCAGCCGCCGCCGUAA